Small nuclear RNA from Protopterus annectens (West African lungfish), 165 nucleotides. RefSeq annotates it as U1 spliceosomal RNA. The record is from RefSeq and is a predicted model, not a curated record. NCBI's taxonomy places the organism in Eukaryota, Metazoa, Chordata, Ceratodontiformes, Protopteridae. The transcript has a single exon.
AUACUUACCUGGCAGGGGGAAUACCAGGAUCAAGAAGGUGGUUUCCCCAGGGUGAGGCUUUUCCAUUUUUCAUUCCUCCAUAUUCCUUCUGUACUGGUAGCUAGUUAUGGAUACAUGAUUUACCUGCUAUGGGUCACUGGCAGGCUCUUUUCUGCAUGAUAAUUC